RNAcentral lists this ribosomal RNA (83 nucleotides) under Vibrio cholerae. RNAcentral describes it as "partial 16S ribosomal RNA". It matches the Rfam family "Bacterial small subunit ribosomal RNA", at positions 1 to 83 of the family's 1533-position model. Lineage: Bacteria; Pseudomonadati; Pseudomonadota; Gammaproteobacteria; Vibrionales; Vibrionaceae. The record is from RNAcentral.
UAAUUGAAGAGUUUGAUCAUGGCUCAGAUUGAACGCUGGCGGCAGGCCUAACACAUGCAAGUCGAGCGGCAGCACAGAGGAAC